RNAcentral lists this ribosomal RNA (496 nucleotides) under uncultured bacterium. Its description in RNAcentral is "partial 16S ribosomal RNA". It matches the Rfam family "Bacterial small subunit ribosomal RNA", at positions 30 to 523 of the family's 1533-position model. The record is from RNAcentral.
AUUGAACGCUGGCGGAAUGCUUUACACAUGCAAGUCGAACGGUAGAGGGGGCAACCCCUCGAGAGUGGCGAACGGGUGAGUAAUAUAUCGGAACGUGCCCAGUCGUGGGGGAUAACGUAGCGAAAGUUACGCUAAUACCGCAUACGAUCUAAGGAUGAAAGCGGGAGAUCGCAAGACCUCGCGCGAUUGGAGCGGCCGAUAUCAGAUUAGGUAGUUGGUGGGGUAAAGGCUAACCAAGCCAACGAUCUGUAGCUGGUCUGAGAGGACGACCAGCCACACUGGAACUGAGACACGGUCCAGACUCCUACGGGAGGCAGCAGUGGGGAAUUUUGGACAAUGGACGCAAGUCUGAUCCAGCCAUUCCGCGUGCAGGAUGAAGGCCCUCGGGUUGUAAACUGCUUUUGUACGGAACGAAAAGGUCUCUCUUAAUACGGGGGGCUCAUGACGGUACCGUAAGAAUAAGCACCGGCUAACUACGUGCCAGCCGCCGCAGUAA